UUCGCCCUUAGAGUUUGAUCCUGGCUCAGGACGAACGCUGGCGGCGCGCCUAACACAUGCAAGUCGAACGAGCGAGAGAGAGCUUGCUUUUCUCGAGCGAGUGGCGAACGGGUGAGUAACGCGUGAGGAACCUGUCUCAAAGAGGGGGACAACAGUUGGAAACGACUGCUAAUACCGCAUAAGCCCACGGCUCGGCAUCGAGCAGAGGGAAAAGGAGCAAUCCGCUUUGAGAUGGCCUCGCGUCCGAUUAGCUAGUUGGUGAGGUAAUGGCCCACCAAGGCGACGAUCGGUAGCCGGACUGAGAGGUUGAACGGCCACAUUGGGACUGAGACACGGCCCAGACUCCUACGGGAGGCAGCAGUGGGGAAUAUUGCACAAUGGGGGAAACCCUGAUGCAGCGACGCCGCGUGGAGGAAGAAGGUCUUCGGAUUGUAAACUCCUGUUGUUGAGGAAGAUAAUGACGGUACUCAACAAGGAAGUGACGGCUAACUACGUGCCAGCAGCCGCGGUAAAACGUAGGUCACAAGCGUUGUCCGGAAUUACUGGGUGUAAAGGGAGCGCAGGCGGGAAGACAAGUUGGAAGUGAAAUCCAUGGGCUCAACCCAUGAACUGCUUUCAAAACUGUUUUUCUUGAGUAGUGCAGAGGUAGGCGGAAUUCCCGGUGUAGCGGUGGAAUGCGUAGAUAUCGGGAGGAACACCAGUGGCGAAGGCGGCCUACUGGGCAUCAACUGACGCUGAGGCUCGAAAGUGUGGGUAGCAAACAGGAUUAGAUACCCUGGUAGUCCACACUGUAAACGAUGAUUACUAGGUGUUGGAGGAUUGACCCCUUCAGUGCCGCAGUUAACACAAUAAGUAAUCCACCUGGGGAGUACGACCGCAAGGUUGAAACUCAAAGGAAUUGACGGGGGCCCGCACAAGCAGUGGAGUAUGUGGUUUAAUUCGACGCAACGCGAAGAACCUUACCAAGUCUUGACAUCCUGCGACGGUGCUGGAAACAGUACUUUCCUUCGGGACGCAGAGACAGGUGGUGCAUGGUUGUCGUCAGCUCGUGUCGUGAGAUGUUGGGUUAAGUCCCGCAACGAGCGCAACCCUUAUGGUCAGUUACUACGCAAGAGGACUCUGGCCAGACUGCCGCUGACAAAACGGAGGAAGGUGGGGAUGACGUCAAAUCAUCAUGCCCUUUAUGACUUGGGCUACACACGUACUACAAUGGCGUUAAACAAAGAGAAGCAAGACCGCGAGGUGGAGCAAAACUCAGAAACAACGUCCCAGUUCGGACUGCAGGCUGCAACUCGCCUGCACGAAGUCGGAAUUGCUAGUAAUCGCAGAUCAGCAUGCUGCGGUGAAUACGUUCCCGGGCCUUGUACACACCGCCCGUCA
RNAcentral lists this ribosomal RNA (1380 nucleotides) under uncultured bacterium. RNAcentral's name for it is "16S ribosomal RNA". It matches the Rfam family "Bacterial small subunit ribosomal RNA". The record is from RNAcentral.